AUUGAACGCUGGCGGCAUGCUUUACACAUGCAAGUCGAACGGUAACAGGUCUUCGGAUGCUGACGAGUGGCGAACGGGUGAGUAAUGUAUCGGAACGUGCCCAGUAGUGGGGGAUAACUACUCGAAAGAGUGGCUAAUACCGCAUGAGAACUGAGGUUGAAAGCGGGGGGACCUUCGGGCCUCGCGCUACUGGAGCGGCCGAUAUCAGAUUAGGUAGUUGGUGGGGUAAAGGCUCACCAAGGCGACGAUCUGUAGCGGGUCUGAGAGGAUGAUCCGCCACACUGGGACUGAGACACGGCCCAGACUCCUACGGGAGGCAGCAGUGGGGAAUUUUGGACAAUGGGCGCAAGCCUGAUCCAGCCAUGCCGCGUGCGUGAAGAAGGCCUCGGUUGUAAGCUCUUCGUCAGGAACGAAACGGUAGGUCCCGUAACUACGGAUUGCUAAUGACGGUACCGUGAAGAAGAAGACACCGG
Molecule: ribosomal RNA, 473 nt
Filed under: uncultured bacterium
Lineage: Bacteria
Description: bacterial SSU rRNA
Rfam family: Bacterial small subunit ribosomal RNA
Source: RNAcentral